GUCGUAACCAAGGUCUCCGUAGGUGAACCUGCGGAGGGAUCAUUACACAAAUAUGAAGGCGGGCUGGAACCUCUCGGGGUUACAGCCUUGCUGAAUUAUUCACCCUUGUCUUUUGCGUACUUCUUGUUUCCUUGGUGGGUUCGCCCACCACUAGGACAAACAUAAACCUUUUGUAAUUGCAAUCAGCGUCAGUAACAAAUUAAUAAUUACAACUUUCAACAACGGAUCUCUUGGUUCUGGCAUCGAUGAAGAACGCAGCGAAAUGCGAUAAGUAGUGUGAAUUGCAGAAUUCAGUGAAUCAUCGAAUCUUUGAACGCACAUUGCGCCCUUUGGUAUUCCAAAGGGCAUGCCUGCUCGAGCGUCAUUUGUACCCUCAAGCUUUGCUUGGUGUUGGGCGUCUUGUCUCUAGCUUUGCUGGAGACUCGCCUUAAAGUAAUUGGCAGCCGGCCUACUGGUUUCGGAGCGCAGCACAAGUCGCACUCUCUAUCAGCAAAGGUCUAGCAUCCAUUAAGCCUUUUUUUCAACUUUUGACCUCGGAUCAGGUAGGGAUACCCGC
This 556-nucleotide ribosomal RNA is filed under the name uncultured fungus. Its description in RNAcentral is "eukaryotic LSU rRNA". The stretch from base 211 to 364 matches the Rfam family "5.8S ribosomal RNA". Lineage: Eukaryota; Fungi. The record is from RNAcentral.